UACGAAGGGGGCUAGCGUUGCUCGGAAUUACUGGGCGUAAAGCGCACGUAGGCGGAUGUGUCAGUCAGGGGUGAAAUCCCGGGGCUCAACCUCGGAACUGCCUUUGAUACAGCACGUCUCGAGUCCGGAAGAGGUGGGUGGAAUUCCUAGUGUAGAGGUGAAAUUCGUAGAUAUUAGGAAGAACACCGGUGGCGAAGGCGGCCCACUGGUCCGGUACUGACGCUGAGGUGCGAAAGCGUGGGGAGCAAACAGG
This 253-nucleotide ribosomal RNA is filed under the name uncultured bacterium. RNAcentral describes it as "partial 16S ribosomal RNA". It matches the Rfam family "Bacterial small subunit ribosomal RNA", at positions 524 to 776 of the family's 1533-position model. The record is from RNAcentral.